CCUACGGGAGGCAGCAGUAGGGAAUCUUCCACAAUGGGCGAAAGCCUGAUGGAGCAACGCCGCGUGGGUGAAGAAGGUCUUCGGAUCGUAAAACCCUGUUGUUAGAGAAGAAAGUGCGUGAGAGUAACUGUUCACGUUUCGACGGUAUCUAACCAGAAAGCCACGUCUAACUACGUGCCAGCAGCCGCGGUAAUACGUAGGUGGCAAGCGUUAUCCGGGUUUAUGGGGCGUAAAGGGAACGCAGGCGGUCUUUUAAGUCUGAUGUGAAAGCCUUCGGCUUAACCGGAGUAGUGCAUUGGAAACUGGGAGACUUGAGUGCAGAAGAGGAGAGUGGAACUCCAUGUGUAGCGGUGAAAUGCGUAGAUAUAUGGAAGAACACCAGUGGCGAAAGCGGCUCUCUGGUCUGUAACUGACGCUGAGGUUCGAAAGCGUGGGUAGCAAACAGGAUUAGAUACCCGAGUAGUC
RNAcentral lists this ribosomal RNA (465 nucleotides) under uncultured bacterium. RNAcentral's name for it is "partial 16S ribosomal RNA". It matches the Rfam family "Bacterial small subunit ribosomal RNA", at positions 338 to 795 of the family's 1533-position model. The record is from RNAcentral.